This 871-nucleotide ribosomal RNA is filed under the name uncultured bacterium. RNAcentral describes it as "bacterial SSU rRNA". It matches the Rfam family "Bacterial small subunit ribosomal RNA", at positions 1 to 907 of the family's 1533-position model. The record is from RNAcentral.
GCUUAGAGUUUGAUCCUGGCUCAGAAUCAACGCUGGCGGCGCGCCUAACACAUGCAAGUCGAACGAGAAAGCAUCCUUCGGGGUGUGAGUACAGUGGCGCACGGGUGAGUAACACGUGGAUACCUGCCUUUCGAUGGGGGAUAACUCCGGGAAACUGGAGCUAAUACCGCAUACGACCGAGAGGUGAAAGGAGCAAUCCGUCGAAAGAGGGGUCCGCGGCCGAUUAGCUAGUUGGUGGGGUAAAGGCUCACCAAGGCAUCGAUCGGUAGCCGGCCUGAGAGGGCACACGGCCACACUGGCACUGAAACACGGGCCAGACUCCUACGGGAGGCAGCAGUGGGGAAUCUUGCACAAUGGGGGAAACCCUGAUGCAGCGACGCCGCGUGAGCGAGGAAGCCCUUCGGGGUGUAAAGCUCUUACGCCAGGAAAGAUCGUGACGGUACCUGGAGAAGCAGCUGCGGCUAACUACGUGCCAGCAGCCGCGGUAAUACGUAGGCAGCAAGCGUUGUUCGGAAUUACUGGGCGUAAAGCGUGCGUAGGCGGUGCUCUAAGUUUGGUGUGAAAUCUCCCGGCUUAACUGGGAGGGUGCGCCGAAAACUGGAGUGCUUGAGUGCGGGAUGGGAAAGCGGAAUUCCUGGUGUAGCGGUGAAAUGCGUAGAUAUCAGGAGGAACACCGGUGGUGAAGACGGCUUUCUGGACCGCAACUGACGCUGAGGCACGAAAGCGUGGGGAGCAAACAGGAUUAGAUACCCUGGUAGUCCACGCCCUAAACGAUGCGGACUUGGUGUAAGCCCUUCACUGGGUUUGUGCCGGAGUUAACGCGUUAAGUCCGCCGCCUGGGGAGUACGGUCGCAAGGCUGAAACUCAAAGG